UUACGUCGGUAAAUGAGGAAUACCAAGCUAAACAGAAUGCGGAUGUUAAUGU
RNAcentral lists this small RNA (52 nucleotides) under Staphylococcus aureus. RNAcentral describes it as "HMPRNC0000_2986". The record is from RNAcentral. Lineage: Bacteria; Bacillati; Bacillota; Bacilli; Caryophanales; Staphylococcaceae.